RNAcentral lists this ribosomal RNA (253 nucleotides) under Pycnacronema sp. RNAcentral describes it as "partial 16S ribosomal RNA". It matches the Rfam family "Bacterial small subunit ribosomal RNA", at positions 524 to 776 of the family's 1533-position model. RNAcentral also lists the same sequence under 1 other name. Lineage: Bacteria; Bacillati; Cyanobacteriota; Cyanophyceae; Coleofasciculales; Wilmottiaceae. The record is from RNAcentral.
UACGGAGGAGGCAAGCGUUAUCCGGAAUUAUUGGGCGUAAAGCGUCCGUAGGUGGCGUGUCAAGUCUGCGGUCAAAGACUGGGGCUUAACCCUGGAAAGGCCGUGGAAACUGACGAGCUAGAGUGCAGUAGGGGUAGAGGGAAUUCCCGGUGUAGCGGUGAAAUGCGUAGAGAUCGGGAAGAACAUCGGUGGCGAAAGCGCUCUACUGGACUGCAACUGACACUCAGGGACGAAAGCUAGGGGAGCGAAUGGG